RNAcentral lists this ribosomal RNA (253 nucleotides) under uncultured bacterium. Its description in RNAcentral is "partial 16S ribosomal RNA". It matches the Rfam family "Bacterial small subunit ribosomal RNA", at positions 524 to 776 of the family's 1533-position model. The record is from RNAcentral.
CACGGAAGGUGCAAGCGUUGUUCGGAAUCACUGGGCUUAAAGGGCGAGUAGGCGGGACGGAGGGUGUCGUGUGAAAUCCCUCGGCUCAACCGAGGAACCGCACGGCAAACCGCCGUUCUUGAGACAGGUAGAGGCGACUGGAACGUUCGGUGGAGCGGUGAAAUGCGUAGAUAUCGAACGGAACACCGGUGGCGAAAGCGGGUCGCUGGGCCUGUUCUGACGCUGAAUCGCGAAAGCGUGGGUAGCAAACAGG